Molecule: ribosomal RNA, 442 nt
Filed under: uncultured bacterium
Lineage: Bacteria
Description: bacterial SSU rRNA
Rfam family: Bacterial small subunit ribosomal RNA
Source: RNAcentral
AUUGAACGCUGGCGGCGUGCCUAACACAUGCAAGUCGAGCGGUAACAGGUGUAGCAAUACAUGCUGACGAGCGGCGAACGGGUGAGUAAUGCUUCGGAAUCUGCCCAUGUAGUGGGGAAUAACCAGCCGAAAGGUUGGCUAAUACCGCAUACGACCCUUGCCCACAAGGCAAAGGUGAAAGCAGGGGAUCGCAAGACCUUGCGCUAUUGGAUGAGCCGAAGUCGGAUUAGCUAGUUGGUAGGGUAACGGCCUACCAAGGCGACGAUCCGUAGCUGGUCUGAGAGGACGACCAGCCACACUGGGACUGAGACACGGCCCAGACUCCUACGGGAGGCAGCAGUGGGGAAUAUUGGACAAUGGGGCAACCCUGAUCCAGCGAUGCCGCGUGUGUGAAGAAGGCCUGCGGGUUGUAAAGCACUUUCAGCCCUGACGAAGCGAAAGU